Molecule: long non-coding RNA, 1127 nt
Organism: Plodia interpunctella (Indianmeal moth)
Lineage: Eukaryota; Metazoa; Arthropoda; Insecta; Lepidoptera; Pyralidae
Exons: 3
Source: RefSeq, a predicted model, not a curated record
UGAGGAAUGUGAUAGACAAAAAGGGCUGAAAAUCCAAGGGUUUGACGGUACGCGCGUCGUAACAAGCGUCGCGACGCCCACCGCUGACAGUGGCGCCGCGGGCGGCACUGACGGAAAGCCACCCGUUCUACACAGGAGUGUUCCACACACACGCACCAAAAUACGCAUGCGUUCUACCCCUCCUUAUUCCUAGUCAAUAAAGUAUAAUUUAUAGCGUCGGUGUGUUUCCCAGCCGCGUACGAAAACAUCAGGACGUCCCUUUUAUUCGGCGCGCCUGUUCCGGUGUAAUCGUUACGUGUCCAGGUCACGUCAGUUUCCUGCGUGGUGUGACGUCAUGGCUAUUCCGGGCGUAUCGCGCUCGCUAUUUAUACCGCACGACCCGUCCCAAGCCUGUGUCGCCGAACGAGCUGAUCCCACCGACACUGAACAGGGAAACUAGUAGGUGCUCCAGUGAAUUCGGAGAGAAACUUUACCCAAAAUUCCUAAAUCAUCGCCUAGUAGUUCAUGGCCGAUGUUGAAACCAACAUGCACUUUUCCACAAGCAGUUCUCACAGAGAUCCGCCUUAUCGUCCAUCUGCAGUCAAUUUGUUAGCUGGGAAAUAACGAAUACCGGUCCCAAGACUGAACCUUGCGGAACACCUGACAUCAACUUCAAGUUAAUAUAAGGACGGUGGGUGGUCUAUCUUCGGGUGAUCAGGUUCCACUCACUCCCCCGCAACCAAUGGACAGUCGCAUACACAAACAACGUAGCUGCGGAAGCGUCGCUAAAUGGUUAAUGUACUGCGCAAGCGGAGUCCUAAACAGCCGUAGCAAACUUCGUCGUGUGUCGUUUCAGUUUAUGUAAUUCUCAUUCAUUAAUUUUCAUGGCAUUGAAUGUUCAUGGCAAUUUUUUAAAAAUAUAUUAUACAAAUCAGGUAACACGUUUCGGACAACAUUUAAUAAAACGGUUUUUAUUUAUAAUAUGUAGUAUACAAUAAUCGUAUCUGAAAUCGCAAAAUCAAUCUCUUUUCUCAAAGAACUAAGCAAAAAACAAAGAAUGUAUUUCAUAAAGAAAACAUAAAACAAUAACCAUAUUGUUUUGUAUUCUAUAAAAUUUUAUAAUUGAUCUGAGUCUAAAACUUCUAUCA